This 101-nucleotide small nucleolar RNA is filed under the name Diaporthe helianthi. RNAcentral's name for it is "Small nucleolar RNA Z13/snr52". It matches the Rfam family "Small nucleolar RNA Z13/snr52". From Rfam's summary of the family: Z13 or snr52 is a member of the C/D class of snoRNA which contain the C (UGAUGA) and D (CUGA) box motifs. Lineage: Eukaryota; Fungi; Ascomycota; Sordariomycetes; Diaporthales; Diaporthaceae. The record is from Rfam by way of RNAcentral.
UCAGCAUGAUGAAAUAUUUCGGAUGUAAAGAUUACUUCUUGUCUGAAUUGCGCAAACAACCCCAUGUUGAUAUUUCCGUUGCCUUCCUUCUGAUCAAGCUG